RNAcentral lists this ribosomal RNA (883 nucleotides) under Alternaria alternata. RNAcentral describes it as "partial large subunit ribosomal RNA". It matches the Rfam family "Eukaryotic large subunit ribosomal RNA", at positions 48 to 952 of the family's 3401-position model. Lineage: Eukaryota; Fungi; Ascomycota; Dothideomycetes; Pleosporales; Pleosporaceae. The record is from RNAcentral.
AAGCGGAGGAAAAGAAACCACCAGGGAUUGCCCUAGUAACGGCGAGUGAAGCGGCAACAGCUCAAAUUUGAAAUCUGGCUCUUUUAGAGUCCGAGUUGUAAUUUGCAGAGGGCGCUUUGGCUUUGGCAGCGGUCCAAGUUCCUUGGAACAGGACGUCACAGAGGGUGAGAAUCCCGUACGUGGUCGCUGGCUAUUGCCGUGUAAAGCCCCUUCGACGAGUCGAGUUGUUUGGGAAUGCAGCUCUAAAUGGGAGGUACAUUUCUUCUAAAGCUAAAUAUUGGCCAGAGACCGAUAGCGCACAAGUAGAGUGAUCGAAAGAUGAAAAGCACUUUGGAAAGAGAGUCAAACAGCACGUGAAAUUGUUGAAAGGGAAGCGCUUGCAGCCAGACUUGCUUACAGUUGCUCAUCCGGGUUUCUACCCGGUGCACUCUUCUGUAGGCAGGCCAGCAUCAGUUUGGGCGGUAGGAUAAAGGUCUCUGUCACGUACCUCCUUUCGGGGAGGCCUUAUAGGGGAGACGACAUACUACCAGCCUGGACUGAGGUCCGCGCAUCUGCUAGGAUGCUGGCGUAAUGGCUGUAAGCGGCCCGUCUUGAAACACGGACCAAGGAGUCUAACAUCUAUGCGAGUGUUUGGGUGUCAAGCCCGAGCGCGUAAUGAAAGUGAACGGAGGUGGGAACCCGCAAGGGUGCACCAUCGACCGAUCCUGAUGUCUUCGGAAGGAUUUGAGUAAGAGCAUGGCUGUUGGGACCCGAAAGAUGGUGAACUAUGCUUGAAUAGGGUGAAGCCAGAGGAAACUCUGGUGGAGGCUCGCAGCGGUUCUGACGUGCAAAUCGAUCGUCAAAUUUGGGCAUAGGGGCGAAAGACUAAUCGAGAUCUGUGGCC